ACUGCCCAGGCGCCGGGUGAGUGGACAGGCCCCGGGCCGGGGAGGGGCAGGGGGCGCGGCUCGUCUCCCUCCCCUCGCCUCGCCCAAAGGGCCCAGUCUCCCGAUCGCCCAGGCUGGUGAGCGGGAGCUGCCACUGCAGACGGGCAGCAUCGGAGGGUCAUUGGGCAGAGCCGGCAGGCCUGGGCCUCAUCGACCAAGGAAACCAAACUUGCUCGCUCCAGCCGCCGUUCAAGGCCCUGGACGUCCUGCGCACAGGUGGGCGCGCACACAGGCGCAGCCCCGCAGCGCUCUCCCCUGGGGCCGGGGACCAGCAGUGUGGGUGCCGGCCGGGGGAGCUCCAGGGCUGGCGUGGGCCCGGAGCCCUUCCAAGUUGCCAGGCGUCCAACCCCACCCCCACCCCCUGCCCCACGGAGGAAGGGCCGGCAGUCCAACUCCUUCAACCUCAACAUGAUCCCCAGCCACUGCUCCCACGGUAGAAGACGGCUCGUUACAGAGACGUGAGCCCCCAGCGGGCUCCGGGGGCGCCCCAGCUCGGGGAGGAGGUGGGCUUCUGGUGACCCAGCAUAGACCUGGCCCCCUCAGCCUAGUGUGAGCUGCCAACAGGCCCUGGACCACCCAGGGAAGGCCGCAGUCCACUAGGGAAUCAGUGUCUGUCUCUCAAUCAAACAAACCAUUGCAAAGAUACGGGAGUCUUUCUGUUGAGGCCAGAGAAGCUCACAGCCUGACAAACAGUCCUAGGAGACAUCCCCGCUCACGGCCAGGGCAGCCGGCGCCAGGUCUCAGCUGGCAGGUCCCCGGCCCGGCAGUGUGGGCUGUGCCCAGGCCUCACAGCAGCAGGUGGCCCGGCGGGGCCCGCAGGGAGAUCCGGGGUGGCGUCCCCCCGUGUGCAGUCCAGGCUCCCCUGUUAACAGCCUGUUCACAUUUUUUAGAAAGUGGCAGCUAUGGCCCUUUCCUUUUCAGUCCUGAGCAACAGUCCUAAGGCUGUUUGUUAGGUGAGGCAGAGGGAGGUGGGCCCCCUGGAGGAGGAGGGACCCUGGCCUGGGGCGUCAGGCAAGGACGCUUCUGUGCAGAGGACAGCCUGCUGGGGGUGAGGGGAGAGGCGGCGGCCGUGGGGAGACAGGUAUACAUGGGGAGGGCAGCGGGGGAGUGAUGUUGGGAGGUGGGAGCCCAGAGGAGGGAGGUGGCCCGGGACUGUUGGGAACCGGAGUCGAGGUGUCGGGGGUAACAGUCGAUACGGAGAGGGGACCCAGGAUCCUGGGGGCUGGCUCUGCCCGCCUACGGCCAGAGCAGCUGUGGCCAAGCGCAGCGAGCACCCAGUGCCCAGACCCUCCCCGCCGAGAGCAGCCAGGCUCCUGGGAGAAAGGCCGACUCCUGCCUGCGACACAAGGUACCAGAUGGGCUGGGAACGUCAGUGCAGGAAGCAAGAACGUGCCAAAGGGAUGGGGCUGUGUGUGGCACCGCGGCCAGCUCCACGCUCUGCCCCCCAGCUGCGAGCGGGAGGAGGACCCGAGUCCACACUGGCGCCAGGAAGGGUCUCUGCGUCGUGGUCACGGUGCACAUCCUGGGCGCGGGACAGACGGGGAUCACGGCCCAGAGGAUGGCGUCAUAUGUGCUGAGUCCCUGAGGGGCCGGGGUGUCAGGGCAGGAAAAGGCCACGGAAGGACAAGGGACGUUCCACACACACGGGACCAGAGACCCGGUGGCCGAACAGCCCACGGGCCUGGACUGGGCCUCUGCUGAGGAGUGUGUGACAGGGACGUGGGCAGCCAGGGGGGCCAGGCCCGGGGAUCCCUGACAGCUGGGGCCCGGCCGGCAGCUCAAACGGCGCCGGAGAAGCGUGUCCCCUGCAGCCUGACUGCCGUGUACACUUUGAGGUUCUUUCCCGGACACAAGUGCGCACGGAAUCCGUGGCUCACCACUCACGGUGCAGCUGAGGUGCACGCUCGUCGUGCUGAGAACCCUCUUUCGGGAAGAAGCGGCUGUUACAGUGUUAGCGUGUAGAUUAAGUCCCACGAUCAAGGACUGAAGAGAGAAGGGCAUACCUGUCGCUCAGCCAGAGAAAUCCCCACCGUCUCAAAGAACUGCUCCACGUAGGACACGACGGCACCGAACACAGCAGGGCUCCUGGGACCACCGGCCGCCUGCAACAAGUCACCCAGAGAAGGCUCUUGAAAGGCAAGAGCACCGACCCCGGGCAGGAGUUACCUCGGCAGCCGCCUUCAGCUGUCUGUUCCCGUGGUGAGCCAGGUCCAUGACGGCGUCCACCGCCCCCGGCGUGUUGAAGUCGUCCGCCAGCGCCGCCUGCACGGCCCCCUUGGUGUGGCCCAGCCUUUGGGGAGGUGAGCAGACGGGGCCGCUCCAGGGACCCGGCUGGAUGGCAGGAGCUGCAGCGCUGGCUGGGCCCCCAGGACGGACGCCCCCCGGGGGCUCCACCCUCAGCUCCCGCCCCUGGGGCAGCCCUUCCAGCUCCUUCCCUCUGCUGUCAGACCCCCUCAGGAGCCGGCUGCCAUGACGCUCGAGCCCCUCAGCCCCUGGCAAGGAAACUGAGGUCACCGUCACCUCCUCCUCGCCUGCCCCCUUACCCGUCCCCAGCAGCACCAUCCUGUCCCCUUUGAGCCACCCCUCACUCACAUGCUGUCCUGCAUGCCUGCCGGUCAGUCACCGGCCCCUCCGAGGCUCUGCCACCGUAUUGAUUCCCUGCUGCCCCUCGUCCCAGACCUUCCCCACCUCCUCCGGGUGCCCUGCUCCCCAGGCACAGGAAAGGGUUGGGCAGAGCCGCCGAGCCUGGGCCCGAGUGACCACAGGGAGAGACAGACCUUUGCUGCCUGGGCUUCUGCAACCCGGCGCUGUCAGCCGGCAUAACCUGACCUCUCCUGACUGAGGCGCAGACUCUCCCCUGCACGCCUGCCGGUGAGCGGCACUGCCGGCCCUUCCCUGGCACCCGCCGUCGGGAGGGUGGCCCAGCCCCACAAGGCCCAGCUGCCCGGCCCCAGGGCUUGGGCUUCAUCCUGGGCGCCACUGCUGUGACCAACAGGCAGCUCCUGCCUCUCUCCUGCAGAUGCCCUCUUCCCGGCCGGCCCCGAAGGAGCCCCGGGCCCUCUACUCCUCCAGGGGCUCCCUGGGUGGCAGGGCACACAGACCCCGCCCACCAUCAGCCUCCGGGGACCCCCGAUGACCCUGCCCCCCUCAUCUCCCCCUGGUAUCCCCCGAGGCUCUGUCUUCCCACUUUCUCACCGUCUCUGAAGCCAAUCUCAAACCUUCCUCGCCUUUUUUUGGACGAGUGAAACACAGAUGACCACGUCAAGCCAUUUACCAAGCAACAGAACUGGAAACACCGUCUCCAUGUCCGGGGUGGGCUCCGUCCUCCCGCCCGCGCCACCACUCAGUUCACUUCCCGGGGCCCCUUGCUGUGCUCCCACCUCUGCAGGCACGACCGGCCUGUGGUCACGACCCCCAGGGGGCAGGGGGCACACGCUGGGCUUCCGGACGCGCCCGUCAACCCCUGUCCCGCGACCCAGGUCCCCCCUCCUUCCUUCAACAGCUCGCUCGUCCGCCCACCUGCCCCACUUCCCGUCGACCACGCCAUCCACGAGGUUCCUGACACUCCCACGCGACCGUGGGCCGUCCAGGCCUCCCUGAAGGCAGGGUGCCUGCCCCUCCCCUGGCGGGCCCGGGGCUCCCACCAGCCCCACCCCCGUGUCCACAGCGCUGCCUCGGGUGGUCCUGAGCAGCACCCACCUCUCCCACAGCACGUCCUCCUGGACGGGGCCGCCCGCCAGCUGCCCCCUCAUGUAGGCCCGAGCGUCCUCCACAAAGGCGGCCACGGCACGGAGCAGACGCCUGGCCUCGAGCAUGGCGCCGUCGCUGUAGUCCAUGGCUGCGGGGAGGGAGCCCGGUCACCUGGGAGCCGCGAGCGCCUGCAGACCGCCAGGCUCUGUCCUGACCCCGGGCAGGAAACGUGGACACCCCUCCCCACGUGAGUGGCCGAGGGCUCAUUCCUGCUGACAGGUGUACAAACAGACAGAUGGCUCUGGAAAGCAGGGGCCCUGCCGGGCACCUGAAGCACCUCUGGGGAGGCCAGCUGACCGGUGCCACGAGGACUCUGGCCCUGUGUUCCCGGAGGGGCAGGGAAACUCGGCCAUCACCCCGCCCACGAGUGUGCGGGGACAGAUUAGGGACACUCGCCGCACCCGGGCGGCCCCAGGUCUCUGGACAGGGGUCCGGCCAGCGGGGAGUGCCGGGGUCCCCAGACUCGCCUUCAGGGCUGGAAGGGGACACGCCCUCUGGCCCAGGGGAGGGGCAGUGCCAUGCUGACGGCUCCUGGCUCGGGCCUUGUGCCAGGACGGCUCAUGAAGCCAGGGGGCAGGUGCCGCGGGCUCAGGCUCUCCGGGCCCCGUGGAGCGCUGGGCACCGGAGUCCCACUGCAAAGCCGCGGCCUUGGGACAGGCUCCGGGGUCCCCUGGCUGAGCGCUGGGACCGUGCUCCCUGGAGCAUCCUCGGGCUUCCGUUCAGAACCCAACCUCAGGGCACGAGGGCAACACCCCAACAGGACGGGGCGCAUCCCACCCGGAUUUCGGGGUUCCCAGAGGCCCUCAGAGGCUCCCCGGGGCCACACGUGAGGAGCACCCAGGCCUCCCUGCCAGCUCACCUGACCUGUAGCUGCUCCGCAGGCAGAAGAGGCGGAAGACGUCUGGGGAGGCCGUGCUGAGGAAGUCCUGCAGGGGCCGGGAGAGACAGGAGCCACUAACCCCCAGGCACACGCAGCGCUCCUCCAACCACCAGUGUAGACACCUGGACCGCCCCCCGAGCAGUCGCGGGGUGUUCGCCCCACGAGCCUGCGGCCGCGUCACCUCCACACAGCCUGUGCUGUCACUCAUCUGACGUGAGCUGCGGGGCUCAGACCCACGGCUGGAUUCUGUUAAGAGGGUUCACUCAAGCGAGGGAGGGCAUGGAUUCCUGUAUCUCGAUAUAAUCAACACCUGUCAGACUCCUACAGAUUUCAUUCUGUGUGUUUAAAAAUGUUACACUCUAAGGAAGCGGCCACAGAUUUCGCCAGGCCAACAACAGGAUCGACAGGGGAAAGGUGAAGAGCCCUGUCCAAGCCGACUUGCAUCAGUAAGACACCGGGUAUUUCAGCGUCUGUGUCCGUCCCUUGGUGCUCCUUUCCAGGGUGUGAAAAAGGAGUAUUUCUUCGUCCCCUUAAUUCCCCAAACUAGCCAACUAACUUGAGACCCCGUCCGGUGGACAGCACACAGUGUGCGUGUUAAUUCUCGCAUUUGCGCCGUCACGUGCCCUCGCGUUCUCACCUGUCACUUCCCCUUUAAAUCUGCCAAAGCAGCAGCACGGAGACCGAGCCCCUGCACUGUGAUGUUACUACACCACGGACAGCACAGGCAGAUAAAUACGUAGCGCUGUCGCAUACAGAGCAUCACUUACAGAAUGCUAAGAUGCGGAUGUGUCGUAACUGCAGUGUGUCUAUAACGGUGACAAAAAGACAAGACUUAGUGAACCAAACGCCAAACACCCAAGGCCCGGGCUGCCCUGCAGCCUCGCAUCCUGUGCCUUCUCUGCAAGUCCUUCUGUGUCCCGUCGGCCGUCACUCCAGCCACUCUGACAGCGCUUCCCUGACCUGCCAGGGUCUCGUGAUAACCAGCUGUGCUCGGCGGGACCCCAGUAAACACGCAGCUCAGCUGGCAUGGGGUUACACCGGGGACAGAGAGUGAACGCCGGGUACCCGGAGGGCCUUUAGCCACCCUCUGACUUUUCCCUCUCCUUUUUGAAUUAUUUCUUUAGGUUUCCUUCCCCACCAAAGCAUGGACUCAACUGCUUCAUAACUUGUUACAAGUCCUCUCCUGUCUCUGACAGUGCAGCAGGAGGCCUGUUCCCAGUGGACACGCUUGCCUUAGGUGAGGACUUGUUUUUGUAAGUUGUUGUGUGUUUAGAUUUUUAUAAAUCACUGCCAGACGCUUGGUAUGUACGGCUGUGGAGCUGUGUGGGCAGGAGCAAAGCUGUGCAUCUCCACGGCCCCGGGGCCCUGACCGCUGACAGACACGACACGCCGCCCCCAGCCCCACGCACUUCUCUCUGCAAGUCGGUGCCUCUCCUGCACUCCUGACUUUCUGCUCAUAAUCGUGCAUUUAGUGACAGAAUUUAAAAACUAACAUUAUGGAUAUUUUAUGUCUGUCUAGGUCUUCGGUUUUUCCGAAAGAGAUCUCUUUUUCAUUUUAGCACUUUGUUUUCGGGGUAGCCAUGUUCUCUAUUUCAUCCAAAAAGGAUUUUAGGUGGUUUUAUUUUAAAGGGUUUUUCCUGGACUUCCCUGGUGGUCCAGUGGUUAAGACUCCGCACUUCCACGGCCGGGGGCACGGGUUCAAUCCCUGGUCGGGGAAUUAAGAUCCUGCACACCACUUGGGCAUGGCCCACCCCACAAGGAAUGGGGGUAGCUUCCUGCCACUCAGAAUGUGGACUCAUUCAGAUAAACCUCAAUGUGUGUUCAGAAAUCUAAGUUAAUAGUUCUCCAAACGCCAGCAACACUAAAGGGUAUUUAUUUUCACCACUGUGGGGUGCCCCUAUGGAGUCAGAGAGUUCAACAGAAAUCUGGAAUCUGACCUUUCUACGGCAUUCUGUGUCUGUGGACCAUUUCCUGAUAAUGACACAGAAAGAAAGUAGGACUACAUCAAACUAAAAAGCUUCUGCACAGCAAAGGAAGCAGUCAACAAAAUGAAAAGGCAGCCAACAGGAUGGGAGAGAACAUUUGCAGACCAUCUAUCUGGUAAGGGAUAAAUACCCAAAAUGUAUAAAGAACUCACACAACUCAACAGAAAAAAAAAAAAAGAUUCAAAAAUGGGCAAAAGACUUGAAUAAACGUUUUUCCAAAGAAGACCUACAAAAUGGCCACAGGUAGGUGCCUGAAAAGAUGCUCAACAUCACUAAUCAUCAGGGAAAUGCAAAUCAAAACCACAAUGAGACGCCACACCUGUCAGAAUGGCUGCCAUUAAAGGAAAUAAGUGUUGAUGAGAAUAUUGAGAAAAGGGAACCCUUGUGCGCGGUUGGUGGGAACGUACACUGGUACAACCACCGUGGAAAACAGUAUGAAGGUUCCUCAAAAAAUCAAAAAUAGAUUUACCAUACAGUCCAGCCAUUCCACUUCUAGGUACACAUCUGAAGGAAACAAAAUCACUAUCUCGUAGAUAUAUCUGCACUCCUAUGUUCAAUGCAGCAUUACUGACAAUAGUCAAGAUACGGAAACAACCUAAGUGUCCACAGAUAGAUGAAUGGAUAAAGAAGAUGUGACACACGCUGACACACACACAUACACGUGCAUAUACACACUACGGACUAUUAAUCAUCAAAAGAAGGAAAUCCUGCCGUUUGUGACAACAUGGAUGAACCUAGAGGACCCUGGGCUCAGUGAAAGAAAGCCGAGAAAGACAAAUACUGUAUGAUCUCACCCACGUGUGGAAUCUAAAAGAAAAACUCACAGAAACUGCAGGGAAUUAAUUCCCUGGCGGUCCAGUGGUUAGGACUCUGCGCUCACUGCCGGGGCCCUGGGUUUGAUCCCUGGUCAGGGAACUAAGAUCCUGCAAGCCAUGCGGUGUGGGAAAGAAAGAGAAAGAGAGGAAGGGCGGGAUGGAGGGAGGGAAGGAUGAAGGGAGGGAGGAAGGAAGGAAGAAAGAAAAAGAAAUGGAGAGCAGACCAGUAGUUGCCAGGGGCUGGAAUGUGAGCCUGGGGAAGACUCUGGUCUCUGUAAAGUCCAACAGCAGGGAAGUAACUCAGUCCUGUAGUAGCGCCCCCCAAGGGCCACUCACUAAGUGGUCAGAAAAGUAAUGCAGACUUUGUAAUAUCUAUGAAAAUUUUAAAUGCAUGUACCCAAGCAGAUGUAGUUUAAUACGGCCAUGAAAAAUAUAAUUUAAAUGGCCAUCAAUAGGGGAUGGUUUAAACUAAUUAAGGUGCACCCUUACAACAGAUGAUUAUUCAAAUGAGUUAAGUCCAUAUGGAAGAAAGCUAAUGCAAAAGACUCAGUAGUUUAAGAGACACCUGGGACAACACCGAGCGCACUAAUGUUCGCAUUGUAGCGGCCCCAGGAGAGAGAGAGAGAGAGCAGCAGAGAGCUUAUAUUUCCAGCUAAGCUGUAAAUCUGCCUAGCCUGCGAAAGGGAAAUAGACAUCCAAGCCCAGGAAGCACAGAGAGGCCCAAACGAGAUGAACCCAAAGAGAUCCACAGCAAGACACACUGUAAAUAAAAUGGGAAAAUUAAAAACAAAGAGAAAAUCUUAAAAGCAGCAAGGGAAAAGCAACUAGUUCCUCACAGGGGAACUCUCGCAAGACUGUCAGCUGACUUUUCUGCACGCCAGAAAGGAGCAACAUGAUAUACUCGAAGUGAUGAAAAAACCUACAACCAAGAACACUCUGCCCAGCAAGCUAUCAUUCAGAUCUGAAGGAGAGAGAAAGAAUUUUACAGACAAGCAACAGAACCCUUAAACCAGCAUUACACGACACGUUAAAGGGACUUCUCUAAGAGGAAAAGAAAAGUCCACGACUAGAAAUAUGAAAAUUCUGAAAGGAAAAAUCUCACUGGUAAAGGCAAACAUUCAGUAAAGAUAGAGUAACCACUUAUAAAGCUAGUAGGAAGGUUAAAAGACAAAAAUACUAUAAAUCAUCUAUAUCCACAAUAAGUAGUUAAGUGAUGCACAAAACAAAAAGAUGUAAAACAUGAUGUAAAAAGCAUUAAACAUGGGAGGUGGGUAAAAAUGCAAGCUUGUUCGCAUGUGCUCAAACUGAGAUCAUCCCCUAAAAUAACCUCAUGCACGUGGGAUGCAGCAAAAGCAGUCCUAAAAGGGAAGUAUUUAGUAAUAUAAGAAAAACCUCAGAAAAACUUCAGAAAAAUCUCAAAUAAACCUAACUUCACACCUUAAGGCACUAGAAGAAGAACAAACAAAACCCAAAGUUAAUAGAAGGAAAGAAAUCAUAAAGGUAGGAGCAGAAAUAAAUGAAAUAAAGACUGAAAAAAAAUACGAAAGAUCAGUGAAACUGAGAACUAGUUCUUUGAAAAGAUAAAAUCAAUAAACAUUUAGCUAGACUCAUCAAAAAAAAAAAA
Orcinus orca (killer whale) is the source of this 9093-nucleotide long non-coding RNA. RefSeq lists it as uncharacterized. Lineage: Eukaryota; Metazoa; Chordata; Mammalia; Artiodactyla; Delphinidae. The transcript is spliced from 3 exons. The record is from RefSeq and is a predicted model, not a curated record.